AGCUUUCCAUGGUGUGUUUAUGACAAGCUGAUCGAGAUCAAGAGGAACAAAGCAAGUAUAAGAAGGUCUCUACAUUUGUCAUCUCUGGAACGCCAGUUUAAUCUUGGACUGCAGUUGAGUUGACAAGUCUUGAAAUACUUGAAGAUAUGUAUGGCGUGUGUUUUAAUUCUAUGACAGGAGCUUGUCUAUAUUCAGUUUGCCAGGGAAUUAAUUGAUUUCACUU
Molecule: unclassified non-coding RNA, 223 nt
Filed under: Hevea brasiliensis (rubber tree)
Lineage: Eukaryota; Viridiplantae; Streptophyta; Magnoliopsida; Malpighiales; Euphorbiaceae
Source: RNAcentral